AUUGAACGCUGGCGGCGUGCUUAACACAUGCAAGUCGAUCGGUAACGCGGGGGCAACCCUGGCGACGAGAGGCGGACGGGUGAGGAACGCUUGGGAAUCUGCCCUUCAGCGGGGGACAACCCGGGGAAACUCGGGCUAAUACCGCAUACGCUCCACGGAGGAAAGCCGGGGACCGCAAGGCCUGGCACUGAAGGAUGAGCCCAAGUCGGAUUAGCUAGUUGGCGGGGUAACGGCCCACCAAGGCGACGAUCCGUAGCUGGUCUGAGAGGACGAUCAGCCACACUGGGACUGAGACACGGCCCAGACUCCUACGGGAGGCAG
RNAcentral lists this ribosomal RNA (321 nucleotides) under uncultured Pseudomonadota bacterium. RNAcentral's name for it is "bacterial SSU rRNA". It matches the Rfam family "Bacterial small subunit ribosomal RNA", at positions 29 to 351 of the family's 1533-position model. Lineage: Bacteria; Pseudomonadati; Pseudomonadota. The record is from RNAcentral.